CCUACGGGAGGCAGCAGUGGGGAAUUUUGGACAAUGGGGGCAACCCUGAUCCAGCAAUGCCGCGUGAGUGAAGAAGGCCUUCGGGUUGUAAAGCUCUUUUGUCAGGGAAGAAACGGUGAUCUCUAAUACAGAUUACUAAUGACGGUACCUGAAGAAUAAGCACCGGCUAACUACGUGCCAGCAGCCGCGGUAAUACGUAGGGUGCAAGCGUUAAUCGGAAUUACUGGGCGUAAAGCGUGCGCAGGCGGUUAUAUAAGUCAGAUGUGAAAUCCCCGGGCUCAACCCGGGAACUGCAUUUGAGACUGUAUGGCUAGAGUGUGUCAGAGGGGGGUAGAAUUCCACGUGUAGCAGUGAAAUGCGUAGAUAUGUGGAGGAAUACCGAUGGCGAAGGCAGCCCCCUGGGAUAACACUGACGCUCAUGCACGAAAGCGUGGGGAGCAAACAGGAUUAGAUACCCUGGUAGUCCACGCCCUAAACGAUGUCUACUAGUUGUCGGGUCUUAAUUGACUUGGUAACGCAGCUAACGCGUGAAGUAGACCGCCUGGGGAGACGUCGCGAGAGUAAACGUUAAAGUAAGUAGACGNGUGAGAGNGCGAGACGACGACGAGGGAGGAGG
RNAcentral lists this ribosomal RNA (616 nucleotides) under uncultured bacterium. RNAcentral describes it as "bacterial SSU rRNA". The stretch from base 1 to 542 matches the Rfam family "Bacterial small subunit ribosomal RNA", at positions 338 to 873 of the family's 1533-position model. The record is from RNAcentral.